CCUGGCUCAGAACGAACGCUGGCGGCAGGCUUAACACAUGCAAGUCGAGCGCCCCGCAAGGGGAGCGGCAGACGGGUGAGUAACGCGUGGGAAUCUACCCUUGACUACGGAAUAACGCAGGGAAACUUGUGCUAAUACCGUAUGUGUCCUUCGGGAGAAAGAUUUAUCGGUCAAGGAUGAGCCCGCGUUGGAUUAGCUAGUUGGUGGGGUAAAGGCCUACCAAGGCGACGAUCCAUAGCUGGUCUGAGAGGAUGAUCAGCCACAUUGGGACUGAGACACGGCCCAAACUCCUACGGGAGGCAGCAGUGGGGAAUAUUGGACAAUGGGCGCAAGCCUGAUCCAGCCAUGCCGCGUGAGUGAUGAAGGCCCUAGGGUUGUAAAGCUCUUUCACCGGAGAAGAUAAU
This 404-nucleotide ribosomal RNA is filed under the name Rhizobium leguminosarum. RNAcentral describes it as "bacterial SSU rRNA". It matches the Rfam family "Bacterial small subunit ribosomal RNA", at positions 18 to 452 of the family's 1533-position model. Lineage: Bacteria; Pseudomonadati; Pseudomonadota; Alphaproteobacteria; Hyphomicrobiales; Rhizobiaceae. The record is from RNAcentral.